CUCAGAAUGGCAGCCACCCAACAGAGGGGCAGACAGGCCCAGGCUGAGAAAAGGGCCUGGGGCUGCUUGGGGAUGUCAGAAAGAAGGGAUUCGAGUGAAUCAGGCAUUCCAAGAAUCCUCGGCCUCAAAGUCCUGAGGCAGCGUGAUGUCAUGGGAAGAGUACGCGGCUGCCCUGGGGAGCUGUCAGCCCCACGUGAACCUGGAGGAACACUUCCAGGGGAAGGCCCUCGCCCUUCCGCUCAGCCUAGUCAAGUCCCAUAGGCUCCUAGGUCCAGCCUGUGGACCCUCACUGCAGCCUGCUGGAAGAACAACCAGAGAGCUCCGAGACUGCCUAUCCUGUGCCUGAGAUUCCCCACCAUCAAUCAAGGCUAUCACUGCUCUCUCAUUCUAGCUGGAGUGAACAUUACAGGACAGGAAAGAAGGGAAGAAAGCUUCAACACCCUGCAUGGACUGUAUUUUAACGCCUAAGCAAGCUGUGGGCCUGGGAUUUUAAAAAUGAGCACCCUAGGGAAGGCACAUUCAAGAGGGAAACUCUGGAACCUGGGUACUUCUCAAAAGGCAGGCAGGUAUUAAGGCUGUGCGUGGGACUGGAAAACUGCAGAGCCAGAGCUGAAAGGGAUCUGUGAGACACUGUGCUCUUCUGCUUCAGCCCAGCCCUAGAGAGGACCUCAGGCCCUCUGGGCCAGUCCUGGGAGGCUCUUGGAAGGGCCCUCAGGUAAAGCAAAGAUGUCCCCAUACCAGGUAGCAGAGGAACCAGGAUAGCUCUGGAGCUGCCCAGGUUUUGUGGGUAGUGGAGUUCUACCGAGCUUGCAGGACAUCCAGGGCACCUGCCUCUCUCCAUUAGCCAUCUCAUCUCAUCUCAGCCGCCCUCCUGGGACAGCCUUCUCCUCUCUCAACUUCAUUACUGUCGAGUUUGCUUGUCCCUAAAGGGCCAUUUGUUCCAUCCUGGGAAGGAGAGGAAAUGUGAAAUGAGUUGGCUGGAGCAGAGCCUCCCUUGGGGCACAUUCUUCAUCCAGGUCUGAUGUGACUGAUGAGUCCGUGGUGAGAUGUUACCACAAGGGAGGAGCCAGCAACAGCUUGACCCACAGCACGAGCCCAGACUCCAGCCUGCCCAUCUCAGGAUAUGGCUGCCCAGUGAUGGUUUCUCGGGCCAAAACCUUUCAAAACAUAAGGGGCUUGUAGCACGAUGCUGAUAAUCUUUACUCUGAGCACCUACUCAGCCAGGCUUCAGGAAUGUGUUCUAGGACACUGGGUUAGGUUUCAAGGAGGUCCUUCCCUGGACCCCAUAUGCUGGAGUCCCAGGCCUUAGGAUGCUGAGUUUAAAACUAACCA
Long non-coding RNA from Fukomys damarensis (Damara mole-rat), 1332 nucleotides. RefSeq lists it as uncharacterized. Lineage: Eukaryota; Metazoa; Chordata; Mammalia; Rodentia; Bathyergidae. The transcript has 3 exons. The record is from RefSeq and is a predicted model, not a curated record.